UUAGCUCACAUGUGACUCCUUGCAACUUGCAUUGUUUCCUCACACAUGUGACUCCUCUUUUGGCGCCUAAACACAUUUGAAUCUAGGGACUUCUUCACUUCUUCAUUGUCCCUAGAUUUGCACAUUCUUUAUCAACUUAUUGUUGACCCUAGAUUUGCACAUCUUUAUCUUCAAGAUUGACCCGAACUUUGCACAUUCUUCUUUGGUGAUUAAACCCCCGGCUUUGCAAAUCUUGGUGAUGACCCGAACUUUGCACAAGCUUCGGUCUUGAUAACUUUGACCCGAACUUUGCACAUCUUGAUAACUUCAUGAAUGACCCAAACUUUGCACAUCUUGAUAACU
Molecule: long non-coding RNA, 342 nt
Filed under: Capsella rubella
Lineage: Eukaryota; Viridiplantae; Streptophyta; Magnoliopsida; Brassicales; Brassicaceae
Description: long non-coding RNA (CRUB_LNC000004)
Source: RNAcentral